RNAcentral lists this ribosomal RNA (513 nucleotides) under uncultured bacterium. RNAcentral's name for it is "bacterial SSU rRNA". It matches the Rfam family "Bacterial small subunit ribosomal RNA", at positions 791 to 1306 of the family's 1533-position model. The record is from RNAcentral.
UAGUCCACGCCCUAAACGAUGUUUACUCGAUGUUUGGACAGUAAGUUUGAGCAUCCAAGGGAAACCAUUAAGUAAACCACCUGGGGAGUACGUCGGCAACGAUGAAACUCAAAGGAAUUGACGGGGGUCCGCAUAAGCGGUGGAGCAUGUGGUUUAAUUCGAUGAUACGCGAGGAACCUUACCUAGGCUAGAAUGUGAUCGCUAUUUCCUGAAAGGGAAAGUUUCUUCGGACACUUUACAAGGUGCUGCAUGGUUGUCGUCAGCUCGUGCCGUGAGGUGUCAGGUUAAGUCCUAUAACGAGCGCAACCCCUGUUGUUAGUUGCCAGCACAUUAUGGUGGGAACUCUAACAAGACUGCCGGUGCAAACCGUGAGGAAGGUGGGGAUGACGUCAAAUCAUCACGGCCCUUACGUCCUGGGGCUACACACGUGCUACAAUGGGUAGGUACAGAGAGCAGCCACUGCGUGAGCAGGGAGCGAAUCUAUAAAACCUAUCUCAGUUCGGGAUCGGGAGU